Molecule: long non-coding RNA, 961 nt
Filed under: Zea mays
Lineage: Eukaryota; Viridiplantae; Streptophyta; Magnoliopsida; Poales; Poaceae
Description: long non-coding RNA (ZMAY_LNC005174)
Source: RNAcentral
ACGUUGGAGGCCUUGAUGUUGCCAUGAACAAAUCUCACCUUGCUCUCGGUAUGAAUAUGUGCCUCUCCUCUUGCUCCCAGGGCGAUCUUCGACCUGGCUUCCCAGUCUCUCCUCUCCCAUCUUCCCUGAAAGGAGCUGAGGUAGUAUGGGAUGUAUGUCUACUUCGUUCAAUCACGUGAAGAGUUUAAAACGUCAGAUAUUAACCAUCAGACCACAAUACAAUUAACUGGAUUGUUUCUUUUUGUCUAUACUCUAUACACAGCUUUUGAUUUCUCUGUUUGUUUUCUUAUGCCCUAUUAGGAUUUAUGGAAUCAGUGUGAAUUUAGGUACCUAAUCGAUCAAUCAGUCAGGUAGGCACAGUGGGUUCAAGAAAGCAAUGAGAUUUGAUAGGCUUGGGUUGCAGUCUGUACCUUGUAUACAUGAUUGUUUUACCUCCAGUUAUAUAUAAGCACCUGCAGAUGGUUCUAAAACUGUCAUUGUUGUUGUGGAUUUACCCACCGAGGCCUGAUUCAGGUUAGCUUUAGCUAUAGCAGAAUGUAUAGUAUCUGAACCCCAAAAGGGAUUCGUACGUUGUUACCCUGCUUGUUGCCUUGCCAAGAGCUGUACACUGACUCUGGCGUAUUUGUACCACAGGAUGCUGGCAUCGCUGGCCUGAACAGCAAGAUGCACAUGAAGAUCCUGUUGAAAUGAAUGACUGAAAGCAGCAGCGCCGGCGCAUCACCGUCAUCCAGUCGCCGUUAAGCCUUGGCGUGGUGGUUCUUGUGGGGAUCUUAAUGUUGCUUUGUGGAUCGAUGGAGCAAGAAGGACGGGGGAGGUUAUUGCCUUGGUCAUGGUGAUCCCAAGUAGAACUGUGACGAACCUUGUAAAAAGCAUUUUUUUUUUAUGGACUGGAAUAACCUGAAAGCAUCACGAUAGCAAUGUUGCUGUUUUACUCAUACAUCAGCUGAUUUUGCUUUUGGUC